ACCUUUAAGUGUGCUGCAGCCGUGUCGCAUCGUUGGUUACGUCAUUACGCUGGCUCGUUGUUCGGCGUUAGCGAUAGUCUUUAAAUUCACGGUGCGGACACGACCAGUGGAGCAAGCUCGGGCUGUUUCACGCAGUUCCGCCUGGCCAUCAGGAUUGGUUUUGCUGUUAUUGCUCGUUCGCGAGCGAUCCUUUUGUGGAGGCAACGGUUGGUAUUUUCACGUUUCUCUCUGGAGGGAAUUUCGUUCGGUGGCCUGCGUUCUGAAGUGGCUCCUUUGGGCUCUAUCUGUGUUUUGCAGUGGUUUAUUCAGUUCGCUUUCUCCCCGCGUUCUGGAUCCAUACUCGUGACUUUUGUCUCCGAGACCAGCUGGGUAUUCGGGUUUGGUGUACAUUAAUAUUGGACUUUAGGCUGCCAGGUGCUCUCAUCUUUCCUCUAUUGGAUUUAUAACCAGCUUUGCAUCGUCGGGCUCCACUCCGGCUGUUGUUCUGCUUUCAUUGUGCUUUUAUUAUAGUAUAUUUCCACGCUGUUGCUUGUUUUGGAUUGUGGCGGCAUCCCACUGGGAGGGGCCGUGUGCCGCCAUUUCAAACAGCAGCGUGUGUGGGUUAACUUUAAUUAGUGUAUGUGUGAGGGUGUGUGGGGUGGUAAGUGGGUAUUAACCACUCGUUAUCGAGUAUGUUGUUUUUGUGAUUUGGUUUAUUUUAUUUUUUUUUGGGUUAUGAUUUCUUUGGUUGAUUUUCUUUUUGAUUUCUAUAUACAUUCUGUGGGGCAGUGGUUGGGUUUUCAGGGCCUGUGUGGGCCUCACCUUUGUUCCUCACGACUUGCUGGGUUGGUACUGGUGCCUUGCUGUGCCCUCUUGGGGAUGUGAUAUUUGCUUGGGGUGUAUAGCUUACCGUGUGUGUGUGCUGUCACUGUUUUGUAAAUUGCUCUACUGCUGGUCCCGUGGGCUCAGCUAUUCCCGGCGGGUACUGUAUAGUGUUAAUCAUAUUUUCUGUUUUCUUUUCUCUUUCUCUUUGGCAGGAUUGGGGACGAUCAGUAGUGGGGGCCAACCCAGUGGUGGUGGGUAUCCAGAGUUCACCUUUAUGGUAGUGUAGCGUCACUUGGGUGUACAGUGCAGUGUAGAUCACGUGUGGUCCUUUCAACCCACUCCGUAAGUACGGUCCUCCUGCUGGUAAGCCCUCUCUUGCCUUUCUUCUUUUAUUAUUUUGAUUUUCUAGUAUUGGUGUUUGUUCUGUAUGUUUGGUAUGUUGACGUGUUAUUCUGGUGGGCUUACCUCUAACCAUACCCGCAGUAGUGUGUAAAUAAGUGAGUAUAUGUGUGUGUGUUUGGGUGUAACCAUUUUAACAAAAGAUUUAAGAAUAUAUUGUGAAUACGCUUGAAAGUAAAUAAAUAUGUAUACGAUUAGAAAUAGAACCCUGUCUCUGUCUUGAUUGCACGGACUUGUUUGCUAUUGGGCGGGUAUCUUGUGAACUUUGGAAACCGUGAUCAAUUUGGGGCGUUUGUAAUUAUAAACUCUUUUCCCCUCGGGGGCCUAUACCCCCCGGGGGUGGCGUUGUCGAAAGUACCUUCCGGGUUUCCGCCAUCUAUCACAAAUUGGUGUUGGUCGGCAGGAUAUGCAUGAAAGCAGAGACAUUGGUUCUGUUAUCUGUUGUUUCAUGUUUGUAAUAUAAAGUUGUUAUAUGGUUGAAUGAAUGAGUAUCGCUGAAUGAGUGGCGUGAGUUUUUCUUUUAGAAGCAGAACAGCAGCCGGUGCUGGGAGCCUGUAGUCCCGUGGAG
This is a long non-coding RNA of Trichomycterus rosablanca, 1771 nucleotides long. RefSeq lists it as uncharacterized. The transcript has 4 exons. The record is from RefSeq and is a predicted model, not a curated record. NCBI's taxonomy places the organism in Eukaryota, Metazoa, Chordata, Actinopteri, Siluriformes, Trichomycteridae.